Molecule: ribosomal RNA, 252 nt
Filed under: Salmonella enterica subsp. enterica serovar Senftenberg
Lineage: Bacteria; Pseudomonadati; Pseudomonadota; Gammaproteobacteria; Enterobacterales; Enterobacteriaceae
Also listed under: 4 other names
Description: partial 16S ribosomal RNA
Rfam family: Bacterial small subunit ribosomal RNA
Source: RNAcentral
AAAUUGAAGAGUUUGAUCAUGGCUCAGAUUGAACGCUGGCGGCAGGCCUAACACAUGCAAGUCGAACGGUAACAGGAAGCAGCUUGCUGCUUCGCUGACGAGUGGCGGACGGGUGAGUAAUGUCUGGGAAACUGCCUGAUGGAGGGGGAUAACUACUGGAAACGGUGGCUAAUACCGCAUAACGUCGCAAGACCAAAGAGGGGGACCUUCGGGCCUCUUGCCAUCAGAUGUGCCCAGAUGGGAUUAGCUUGU